CCUCGUGUUUCCGGCCACCAAUCCUCACCAAACUUCAUCCUUGAGCUCACCUCAACCUCCAGAAGCUCUCAAAAGUGUCCCUUCACGGUGGCGCUGUGCGUGGUGGCGGUUGGAAGCCAGACCCGAUCAAAAAUCGAAACCGAGCUUUCGACCCGGAUACCUCAAGCUAUAGACCACCAAUUCUUGUGAUUCUUGACCUGAAAGGAUAGCCUUGAGUUUCUGAACAAAUAUCCAGAAGGAAUCGAAGCGAUUUGUGGAAGUUUUUACGUAGAUCGGAGCACCUGCCGGAUUCUGGAAUUUUUCCGGCCACCGAAACUUUCGAUCAAGAUAUCUCGAGCUAUAGAGCUUAGUUUUGAGUGAUUCUUGAACCAGUGAGUUCGUCUUUAAGUUCUGAACAAGUCUCCUGAAGGAAUCGAAGCGAAAGGAGGACAUUUUUACGUUGAUCGGAGCUUCGCCGGUUUCUGCAAAUUCUCACCGGUUUCUGGAAAAAAAUUCCGGCCACCUCGACUGUUUUAGGUGAUUGACGGUCUUCCUUGGGUGAGCGGUUUCGGUGUGUAUUGUGUUGAAUUGAAGACGCAGCGGGAAUAUCGAGCGGGUAAUCCUGCAGGUCAGGAGAAUCAGGGCGGUGAUCGAGCGGGUUAGAGUAUUUGUUAUAGUUUUACAGCAUUUGUAAUAGUGAGGUGAGUUAAGCUCAUUGAGCCUUACAAUUUGAUUUGGUGAGAGUGUGUUGUAAUAAAUAACUUGAGGAUUUGAUUUAUUGUAAUAUUGAGAGGUGUGAAGUGUGGUUGUUUGUGAGAAAAAAAUUCAGGACGUUAAUUGUAAUUGUUAUUAUUCAU
Molecule: long non-coding RNA, 836 nt
Organism: Rosa rugosa (rugosa rose)
Lineage: Eukaryota; Viridiplantae; Streptophyta; Magnoliopsida; Rosales; Rosaceae
Exons: 3
Source: RefSeq, a predicted model, not a curated record